CAGUAGCCGCGGGAACACGUAGGGUGCAAGCGUUAAUCGGAAUUACUGGGCGUAAAGCGUGCGUAGGCGGCUUCUUAAGUCGGAUGUGAAAUCCCUGAGCUUAACUUAGGAAUUGCAUUCGAUACUGGGAAGCUAGAGUAUGGGAGAGGAUGGUAGAAUUCCAGGUGUAGCGGUGAAAUGCGUAGAGAUCUGGAGGAAUACCGAUGGCGAAGGCAGCCAUCUGGCCUAAUACUGACGCUGAGGUACGAAAGCAUGGGGAGCAAACAGGAUUAGAUACCCCUGUAGUCCCUGUCUCUUAUAC
This 301-nucleotide ribosomal RNA is filed under the name uncultured bacterium. RNAcentral describes it as "partial 16S ribosomal RNA". It matches the Rfam family "Bacterial small subunit ribosomal RNA", at positions 509 to 807 of the family's 1533-position model. The record is from RNAcentral.